Long non-coding RNA from Homo sapiens (human), 750 nucleotides. Ensembl annotates it as long intergenic non-protein coding RNA 2790. The record is from Ensembl. NCBI's taxonomy places the organism in Eukaryota, Metazoa, Chordata, Mammalia, Primates, Hominidae.
GACUGCUAUGGAGUCUGAGAAAAAAUGUCAAAGGUAGUGCCAAAAUUGUCACUUAAAGAACUGCAGGAAUGGAGUUGGCAUUUACAGAAUUUGGAAGAGAAGCAGGUUUAGUGAUAAAGACCAGAAGCACAGAGCUAAGCAUAUUAAAUAUUGAGGACAUGAAGAGGAAAGAACUGACAGAGGAGGUGAAGAAAGGUGAUCAGGAAGAGCCAUCAAAGUGUUAUCCUGGAAUUCAAGUGAAGACAGUGUUUCAAAGUGGAAAUGAACAGUGUCCUGUAACCCUCAGAGUGAGACUAGAGUCAGAAUGCAGGCUUUUCUCAUUUGAAAUCUAUUGAAUAAACAUCAGUAAAAGAAGCAAUCCAAGUUCUCAUGCCAAAUAUGUAUAUGUCCAAGACCAGGAUUUCUUCAUGUCUGAAUGUGGAUAUGGAGCCUAGAGUACUAGAGUGAUUGUGCUACCAAGGCCUGAAACUUCGGAAAAACCUGCAUAACACAAAAUAUAAAAUAUGCCACAGAGAGGAUCCAGAGAGCCCAUCUCCGGUCAGUUAUCUGUAUUUGUAUGUCAACUACAGCAUCAAAAAGCAUAGGCAUGGAUACUAAGGACCCCCUCUGUACACCAACGCCAGUCCAAAGGACAGUGUGUCACUGUGAACUGGAAAUUCAUCUCUCUUCUUCAAUUUUUUUCUACCUACUUUAUGCUUUAUCUCUAAGUUGAGGCUGUUUAUGGCCUCAUCCUCAAUUACCUUGUCCCUC